RNAcentral lists this ribosomal RNA (381 nucleotides) under Aphanochaete repens. RNAcentral describes it as "SSU rRNA". It matches the Rfam family "Eukaryotic small subunit ribosomal RNA", at positions 585 to 972 of the family's 1831-position model. RNAcentral also lists the same sequence under 1 other name. Lineage: Eukaryota; Viridiplantae; Chlorophyta; Chlorophyceae; Chaetophorales; Aphanochaetaceae. The record is from RNAcentral.
CCAGCUCCAAUAGCGUAUAUUUAAGUUGUUGCAGUUAAAAAGCUCGUAGUUGGAUUUCGGGUGGCUGUUUGCGGUCCGCCUUUCGGUGUGUACUGCAGGCGGCUACCUUUCUGUCGGGGACGGGCUCCUGGGCUUCACUGUCCGGGACUCGGAGUCGGCGAGGUUACUUUGAGUAAAUUAGAGUGUUCAAAGCAAGCCUGAGCUCUGAAUACAUUAGCAUGGAAUAACAUGAUAGGACUCUGGCCUAUCUUGUUGGUCUGUAGGACCGGAGUAAUGAUUAAGAGGGACAGUCGGGGGCAUUCGUAUUUCAUUGUCAGAGGUGAAAUUCUUGGAUUUAUGAAAGACGAACUUCUGCGAAAGCAUUUGCCAAGGAUGUUUUCA